Long non-coding RNA from Nomascus leucogenys (northern white-cheeked gibbon), 4223 nucleotides. RefSeq lists it as uncharacterized. The transcript is spliced from 2 exons. Lineage: Eukaryota; Metazoa; Chordata; Mammalia; Primates; Hylobatidae. The record is from RefSeq and is a predicted model, not a curated record.
GCCCAGGCUGAUCUCAAACUCCUGACCUCAAGUGAUUCUCCACCUCAGCCUCCCAAAGUGCCAGGAUGACAAGCAUGGCUGAGUUGGUAUGGGCUCUCCUUUCCCCAUAUCCAAGGCAAGCUUCCAGGACUCUUCUGGGACCAUCAGGUGCUAGGGACCAUCUUAGUUCCUACCUCAGUUUCACACAUGAGAAAACUGAAGUCCACAGAGGAGGUGUGGCUUCAUCAAAAACCCACUGAGAACGAGUGUCAGAAUCAGGCUAGGACACAUUGGACUCCUCCUCCAGGGCUCUCUGACCUCCAAGGCCCUUUGAAAUCUCUCUCCAGCUGCAAACAGAUUGCUAGACUUCUGAUGGAGGUGAUCUGAGAUGAGCACCCUCUAAGAGCAGCCUCUGCGAGCCUCUAAGAGCAGCCGGGACCUGUGGAGAACAGAAUAUGGCCUAGGAGCGCAACAGCCAAGUGUUCAGCACCACGGACAGCUUCGCUGACCUAUUGCUGGGGAGGCCAGAGGUGGGGAGGCUGGUUGUCCAGCAAGACAGAGUGUCAUGGGAGAGAGAAAAAAAACAUGGGAAAGAUCUCAGAGACCAUCUAAUCCAGCCUCCUCGAUUUGCAUGGGGGGAGACCCAGGACAAGAGAGAAGUGACUUGUCCAAGGUCACACAACAAGUCAGUAGAGAGCCAGAGAUGGGAGCUGACAGCCUACUUCCUCACACCUCUUCAAGGCCCUCAGAUACCUGGUGUCCAUGACUUAUUAGUGGCACAGCCAGACCUUGAUUAAGGGCUCCAAAAUUAAAAUCACCUGUCCUUGGAAAUGAUAAGAAAAGAAAAGAAAAAAGGAGAAAUCAAAGAAAUGGAAAGAGCACCCGGCCCUGAUGGGAAGGUCUGUGAUUUGGCCUCUAACUGCAAGGCUUUGACAGGAGCUUCCUACUUUCCAAGAUGAUGUGGCCUUUCAGAAACGAUUUAGUUACCAUGGCAACCUCAUUCCAGGUUUCAUCUCCAUGGCAAUUCACUGGAGUUUUUCACCCUCCGAGACAAGGUCUCACCAUGUUGCCCGGAAUGGACCUGAACUCCUGAGCACAAGAGAUCCUCCUGCAUUAGCCUCCGGAAGUGCUGGGAUUAUAGGUAUGAGCCACCACCCUGACCUCCAAAUACCUUUUGAACUCAGGCUUGGAUUUGAACUCUGGUUCUAUCAACUAUUAGCUGUGAUUUCAGAUCAGUGAUGGGAGCAAUUUGUGCCUUGUUUCAUUAAGUGGAGAUGACAAUAGCAUCUGCCUUGCAAGAAUUAUUUGAUGUGGCCGAUGAGAAAAAUCAGAAUUAUGAAAAGUGCUUCACACCAUUCCUGGCAUGUGAAGAGCCCUCUCUAAAUGGCCAUUAUGCUAAUUAGCACCUUAAAGGGAAAUCGUUUUCAUGAAAUUUUAUUUGAAUCUGGCUAGAGAAAGUGCUCACCUUCCUCCUUGUGUUUUGCUUAUUUGAUUAAAUAUCUUUGAUUUCUGUGAUGUGUGAAGUCCCUUGAAAGCAGGGCUGUGUGUUCAACAAAGGUUUGUGGCCUUCCCGCAGUGAAUUGUGCUGGGUGCUGUGGGAAAUACAAACACAGGGAAGACAGUUCUGGUCCUCAGGGGAAGUGUAGUGGGGAAGACGGACAUGAGAACCUAACCGUAACAGGAUGCAGAGCAAGGCAUGCGCCAUGCACUGCGGCCAUGUUACCUCCUGGUUUGGAAUGUGAGCUCAGACACCAGUCUGCCUGGGUUUGGAUCCCAGCUCUGCCACUUAUUGGCUGCACAACCUCAAACAAGUCUCUUAACCUUGCUGGGCUUCAGUUUCCUCAAAUGUAAAGUAAAAAUGGUAACAGGAGAGUUAAUGCAUGAACAGAGUCUAACACAUAGAAGGGCUCAAUUGACAUUAGCUGUCAUUACCAACAUAUACAAAGAUAGUGUGGAGGGGAUAUGUGAGAAGCGAUUAUAAUUCUGUUUAAUGGGUGAGGUUGUACUUGAGCUUGAUCUUGGAGGAUAAGUAGUUCUCAAAGGGCAGAAGAGAAGAAGAGAGGCAUUUUGGGGGAAGCAGAGCAGCAGGAAGAGAGGCAUGGAGUGUGAACUCUGCAACGUUCUCUGGGUACAGCAUGGGGGCUGGAUCACAGGUGCAUGGAGAGAAAUACUGGGAAAUGGGCCAGUGCAAGGGUUUAGGACAGCCCCUAGGAGGUCUUGAAAACUGGCUCAAGCAUUCAGACAGUUCUGUAAACAACAGAGACCCACUACAGGCUACUGGAGAGAAGCAACAUGGUGCCACCUGUGUUCUGGGAAAAUCACCUUGGUGGCAGUGAAGGAGGGAUAAAGAAAGAAGGGGGUAGGGGGCCCAGAGACCGUUUGGGGGCUAUAGCACAGCCCAGGCAAAAACGUCAAGAGCUUAAGCAGGGAGGUGGCCAAGAGGGAGAGCCACUGUGAACACAGAAUCCGACAGGCUUGGUGAAGGAGUGGGCAGAGUCAGACAGGGUUUCCUGCUAGGUGGCUGGGAAGAUGGCAGUGGCGAUGCUCUUACAGAAUCAGGGCCCUGGGAAGAGGACCAGCCUGGGAUAGGGGCCUUCUUCAGCUUGGGGCAUACGGCAUGGCCCAGUGCAGACCCUUGUAUGUCCCUCACUGCUGUUCCUUCUCUUCAGCUCCAACAAGCCCCAUAGAGCACCUUGCACCAGUCAGGCGCUCAGUGAAUACCUCUGAGUAAGGAACCACAGGGAAGGAGGUGUCCAGAGACCUCCCCACUCCAACUUCCUCCAUUCCAGAUCCAGCCUCUUCCUCUCCCUCCCCACUGUGGACACCCCUGAACAUCUCCUGUUUCUGAAUCUUUAGGGAAAAAAUGUCCCCAACUCUGUCUCUCAGCACUGCCUCCUUUCUCUGCCCCAACCCACUGAACGUGUGACUCAUUCCCACGCUUGCAUCCUAAAGCCCUGCCUGGGGUGUCCCUCCAUGCGGGGACCGCUGGAGCAGAGGCCAUCACCAUCAUAACACCCUCCACCAGCCACCCAGCCCCUACCAUGGGAAGAGCACCGUGCCAAGCUCAUCAAUCACCAUCAGAUACUCUCGACAAACACAAGAGGAUGGGCUUUCUGAUUCCCAUUUUACAGAUGGGAAGAAUGUGACUCAGAGAACUUAGUCGGCUUGCUCUUGCACACACAGCUGGUUCUGUGUAAUCAUACAGCUUGAACAGGUCCCCUGCCCUCUGCCUGCCUCCCCCACCAGCACCUCCACAAUGGCCACGCAGAUCUUCAGGACACAAGCAGAAAGCAGGGGCUACCUGAGACUGGAACAUCAGGGCAUCUCUUGGGAUCAGCACCACCUGCAGUCAUUGAAUGCAGAAGGGCCUUCUAAUCCCGGGACCUGUCCAGACCCCCAAGGAUUCUGAUGUAAUUGGUCUGGGGUGCAACCCCAAAAGCAGGACUUUUAAAAGCUCCUCCAGGUAAUUCUCAUGAGGUUGAAAAAUGAUUGUUCUAAUGGGUCCUGCCCUGAAAGCAUCCCUGCCGACACCUGCCCCCCACCACAGUCACCGUGGACCUGCUCUGCUGCCUCAGUACUGAGCUUCUCAUGCUGGAUGCAGCCGGGCCAUGGCACAGGUCCUCACAGCCACCGGCCUCCCAGGAGAAGCGGAAGCUGAUCUUGCUGUGGCUCUCCUCCACUCUGGCUCCCUUUUCCGACUCCAGAUACUUCUCUCCAUCCACCUUCCCAGGUUUCCAGAGCCUUCUUAUGGUCCAAAGCUCCCCCUCUCCACAAGGGGACACUCUAGCUGCCCUUCUGGAGAGGACUGAAGACCCCAAGUUGACUCCCUGGUCCUUGUGCCCCCUGGGGGGCCACUGAGAGCCAGGCAGGGAGGCUGGCUGGUGUCAGCAGGAGGGAGGGUGGUGGGGCAGGUGGCAGAGUGGCCAGAAAGAAGGCAGCCUUCAAAUGCUGGUUCCGCCACCUCCUCCCACUGGGCUGUUUCCCCUAUGUCACAGUGAGAGAGCUGCACAGGACCCUAGCUCCACCCUGCAGAGGGGCCAGAGUUGCUUUCUUAUGCCUGGAGACCCUAAACAACGGUGGAACGAUCAGGCUUCCCUGCUGCGGGCUGGGACCAGCCUUUGUUCUGAUGGCCAGAAGCUCUGAUGAGCAGGUGUAGACAGCAGACAGUUUCCUUAUUCAGCAAUAAGGACAGUGUGCAUGGUGGAUAAAUGCCUUAAACACAGAAGAGUUCACGGGAAAAAAAA